UACGGAGGGUGCAAGCGUUAUCCGGAUUCACUGGGUUUAAAGGGUGCGUAGGCGGCCCCGUAAGUCCGCUGUGAAAGUCAAAGGCUCAACCUUUGAAAGCCGGUGGAUACUGUGGGGCUAGAGUCCGGAAGAGGCGAGUGGAAUUCCUGGUGUAGCGGUGGAAUGCGCAGAUAUCAGGAGGAACACCAAUAGCGAAGGCAGCUCGCUGGGACGGUACUGACGCUAAGGCGCGAAAGCGUGGGGAGCGAACAGG
Molecule: ribosomal RNA, 253 nt
Filed under: uncultured bacterium
Lineage: Bacteria
Description: partial 16S ribosomal RNA
Rfam family: Bacterial small subunit ribosomal RNA
Source: RNAcentral